RNAcentral lists this ribosomal RNA (229 nucleotides) under uncultured bacterium. RNAcentral's name for it is "partial 16S ribosomal RNA". It matches the Rfam family "Bacterial small subunit ribosomal RNA", at positions 104 to 334 of the family's 1533-position model. The record is from RNAcentral.
CGGGGUGGAGUAAUGUCUGGGAAACUGCCUGAUGAGGGGGAGUAACUGCUGAAACGGUAGCUAAUACCGCAUAACGUCGCAGGACCAAAGAGGGGGACCUUCGGGCCUCUUGCCAUCGGAUGUGCCCAGAUGGGAUUAGCUAGUAGGUGGGGUAACGGCUCACCUAGGCGACGAUCCCUAGCUGGUCUGAGAGGAUGACCAGCCACACUGGAACUGAGACACGGUCCAG